This 307-nucleotide ribosomal RNA is filed under the name uncultured bacterium. RNAcentral's name for it is "partial 16S ribosomal RNA". It matches the Rfam family "Bacterial small subunit ribosomal RNA", at positions 355 to 654 of the family's 1533-position model. The record is from RNAcentral.
UGGGGAAUAUUGCACAAUGGGCGCAAGCCUGAUGCAGCCAUGCCGCGUGUGUGAAGAAGGCCUUCGGGUUGUAAAGCACUUUCAGCGAGGAGGAAGGGUUCAGUGUUAAUAGCACUGUUCAUUGACGUUACUCGCAGAAGAAGCACCGGCUAACUCCGUGCCAGCAGCCGCGGUAAUACGGAGGGUGCAAGCGUUAAUCGGAAUUACUGGGCGUAAAGCGCACGCAGGCGGUUUGUUAAGUCAGAUGUGAAAUCCCCGCGCUUAACGUGGGAACUGCAUUUGAAACUGGCAAGCUAGAGUCUUGUAG